Molecule: ribosomal RNA, 484 nt
Filed under: uncultured bacterium
Lineage: Bacteria
Description: partial 16S ribosomal RNA
Rfam family: Bacterial small subunit ribosomal RNA
Source: RNAcentral
AUUGAACGCUGGCGGCAGGCCUAACACAUGCAAGUCGAGCGGAUGAAGGGAGCUUGCUCCUGGAUUCAGCGGCGGACGGGUGAGUAAUGCCUAGGAAUCUGCUUGGUAGUGGGGGAUAACGUCCGGAAACGGGCGCUAAUACCGCCUACGUCCUGAGGGAGAAAGUGGGGGAUCUUCGGACCUCACGCUAUCAGAUGAGCCUAGGUCGGAUUAGCUAGUUGGUGGGGUAAAGGCCUACCAAGGCGACGAUCCGUAACUGGUCUGAGAGGAUGAUCACGCACACUGGAACUGAGACACGGUCCAGACUCCUACGGGAGGCAGCAGUGGGGAAUAUUGGCCAAUGGGCGAAAGCCUGAUCCAGCCAUGCCGCGUGUGUGAAGAAGGUCUUCGGAUUGUAAAGCACUUUAAGUUGGGAGAAAGGGCAGUAAGUUAAUACCUUGCUGUUUUGACGUUACCAACAGAAUAAGCACCGGCUAACUACGUG